UUCUUAUUUUCCCUCUUUCUGAUUCUCUAGUAAGCACAUGUACCCUACAGCAAAUUUUUUUAAAAAAGAAAAAAUCCCUGUGAGUUACAGUGAGCCAGUCAACCAACCACAGGCCUGACACAUCCCAAAGAGGACAGGGGUUCCAGGGCUGGGGACAAAGGUUCUAAACCUCCACAUCAACUGAACUGUCAACUAUCAUCCCCCUUCCCCUCACUGCUACAUUCCCAGUGCCAAAGUCUCUGUCUGAUAAACCACAGGUGCCCUACAAAUUUUGUUAAAUGAAUAAAUUGCUAAAGGGAGAGACGCACUUCAUACCCCAAAUAUUGGGUUGUCGGAAAAGUCAUGCCACAUUUUUGCAUAGAAAAACAGAAAAGAUACAUCACGACUUUUCCGACAUCCCAAUAAAUAAGCACAGGCAAGAACCACGCCCAGGUAUGGUGAAAGGGGGUUCCGGGUGUCCAUUCUUACACUGGCUGAUCACUCUGAAUUCUGCUGGGUGAGCUUUAGACCUGGGAAGGUGGGACCCCGUCAUGGAGAUCUUUGGUCCACAGGCCUCUUAUCUAUAGGGAUACUUGGGGACGCUGCCAUCUCUUCCCCGCACACGUAACUAACUCCCAGAGUCCUCUCGGCUGCUUUCCUACUGAGUUGCCUGUCCCACACCCCAGCCUGUGGGCAUGCCAGGAAACAGUCACAACACAAAGUGACACAGGGAGGCCAGGAGGAAGUCCCAGGAUAGCCAGUAACCUCCCAAUACCAUGCUCCUUAUAAUUCUGCCCCAGCCACGUGGCACUGCCCCCAGGCCUCACCCAUCCUCAGCCACCUCAUUCUUGCUACCUUGGCCUCAGAAGCUGGAAGGAACCUUCCAGUUUACAAAGACAAAGACACUUCUGCCUUUCUUUUCUCCCUUCCCAGACUAGAUCUAAGAUCCUGUUCAACUUACCUCUUGCCUACACAUCCUUAGCUUUCAAGAACUUUCUGUCUUCUCCUUCUGUCUUCUCCCACACCCCCACCUACCUACUUAUCACCUUCCCCUCCCAUUUCUCAUGACUUUAAUGGACGCUUCCCAUCUUGAUCUUACACCCAAGUCUAGAACCUUUUCCCUCGGGCCCUGCUCCUCCCCCUCAUCCCAAAGCCACCUCGCUCGGGGGCUAAGGGGGACAGAGCUUGGACGCUAUGGGAGCAGGGAGGUAAGGACCCACAGGACAUGACAAUAGGGCCCAUAUCAUUUGUUAAAUCCUUACUUACAAGUGUCCCCACUGCUUGAAUGUGGGGGAAAAAUUGCAGUCGGUGACUGGGAUUUGGUCUCAGCAUGGCUUAGAAGUAUAAUACCAUUCUAAUAAAAGAAGCGACCAAGGCCAUAGAUACAGCCCCUGGAUACAAUGGAGUCUCUCCCCGUCAGUCUGCGUUGUUUACCCGAACCAUGUGAAUUUCUAUCAUCAGUGUUGUUCAUUAUCGCUG
Molecule: long non-coding RNA, 1458 nt
Organism: Tupaia belangeri chinensis (Chinese tree shrew)
Lineage: Eukaryota; Metazoa; Chordata; Mammalia; Scandentia; Tupaiidae
Exons: 2
Source: RefSeq, a predicted model, not a curated record